Molecule: unclassified non-coding RNA, 375 nt
Filed under: uncultured Actinomycetes bacterium
Lineage: Bacteria; Bacillati; Actinomycetota; Actinomycetes
Description: uncultured actinobacterium contains 16S-23S intergenic spacer region
Source: RNAcentral
UCCGAGUUGACCCCGGCGGUCUCCCAUGAGUCCCCGCCAUUACGCGCUGGCAACAUGGAACGAGGGUUGCGCUCGUUGCGGGACUUAACCCAACAUCUCACGACACGAGCUGACGACAACCAUGCACCACCUGUGCACGGCCCUUACGGACCCCCCAUCUCUGGAGGAUUUCCGCGCAUGUCAAGCCUAGGUAAGGUUCUCCGCGUUGCAUCGAAUUAAGCAACAUGCUCCGCCGCUUGUGCGGGCCCCCGUCAAUUCCUUUGAGUUUUAGCCUUGCGGCCGUACUCCCCAGGCGGAACACUUAACGCGUUGGCUUCGGCACAGGGGGAUUCGACUCCCCCUACACCUAGUGUUCAUCGUUUACGGCAUGGACUA